UAAAUGGAUAAUAAACAAAAAAUUCUUUGUCACAAUAUGAUAAGUAACCAAUCAUGUUGUUUACUUUUUUACUUUUUUUUUUACUUUCUUACAUGAUCCGAUAAAGAAGCAUGAAUAUCAUCAAUUGAGACUGACGUCCAAAUUAACUGCUGAAGUUGUAUAUCUCAUAUUCAGGUUGCAUUGUAUGCAUUUUAUUGCUCUGGUGAUCAUUUUCUUGCAGAUGCAUAUUCAUCACUUUCUCCUCAAAUAUCAUGGCUGGUCCAUGCUAACGGGGAAAUAUGGAAGCACAAAGAUAAUGAUGAGAUGCAUCCUGAAUUUGUUGCAAUUAUACGACAAGACCACUUUAAAUAAGGGGAAGGAAUCUGGAAAAGUUACAAUCAGGGCUCGUUGGAUUUGUUAACAAACGUGUUGAAGGUACUCCAAGCUAGCAUUGGUGAUAGUAUUAGCAUUCCUUACUUAUCCCUUGACCAAAUAGCACUCAAAUUUCCUGCUUGAGGCAUAAUUGCUCUUGUUGACGGUUUACAGAUAACACCUGGUAGAGGUAAUCCAUUUUGGGUUUGAUAGUCACUAGGAAGCUGAAGAAAUGGUGAAGGCUAAUGUCUCUUGUUUUUGUGUCACUUCUUAUUCUAGGUUUAUUAAAUUUUUUUUUCUCACAAUUUAGGGGACACAGCCAUGGGCUUUGUAUGAGGUGAGAUCCUUUUUCGCAAAAAACGAAUAGAGAAAUCCAUUUUUCCUUGAUAAAGUCUGAUUGUGUUUGGAUAGAGUAUUAUUUAAAUAUUAUUUGGAAUAAUUAUUAUAACACUUUUUAUGAUGUGAUGCAUGUGAGAUAAAAAUGUUAUUGGAAAUAAUUAGUGUUGUCUCUCUAAUUAUGAUAGUAACUUUGAUGCUAGCUGUGGUCAAUUAUUGAUAUCAUGUAUUCCAGUUAAACAUUUGCAAAAUUGCCAGGUAUUUAAAUGUUGAAUUUAGAGUUUCAAAUUUUAGUGUCCUUUUUCCCCCUCCCAUAGAUUGAAAUUAACUAAAUACUUUAUAUGUGAGAAACUACUUAUUACUGGCACUUGUGAUACUGAAAUCUUGAACGGUGGAACAGUAAUUGAUAAUUAAACUCUAUGCACAAAAGAAAGGAUGAUAUUCAUAAUAGGGAAAAGCCAACUACCAAACGAUGCAUAUAUGAAAGCGCAGAAACUCAAAACCAAAAUAAUGGGCAAAAAUUUUGAGUAACCUUCGUGUUUGUUGCACUAAGAUGUGAAGCAAAUGGCUAUUUGUUGUUACUCCGCAAAUGAUUAACAUGCUAGUUUGCUGAUCUCUAAUGAUGUAGAUGUACAGAUAUUGUGAUUCGCAUUGAUUUCAGCAUUGUCCACUUUAGCAGGGGCUUCGUGGAUAUUACACGAAUUGCAAAUCAAACAUAUACAACCAACGACGGAGCCCCCAUAAUUUUGUACAGCACCAUUAGCUAUUAGUAUUUUUUUUUACGCAUAUUCUAUUACUUUGCCUCCCCAAAAUUUUUCUCCAGAGUUAUUUUUUCCCCAAAAUUAAAAUUUCAAUUUAUGUAUGACUAGCAUAACAUAUCCAAUAAAGAAAUUAAAUAAAAGGAAACAAAGACCAAAAGAAUUUUAAUCACUAUUGCAAUCUAUUUAUACGAGAUUGACUUGAAUUAAGGGUUGAAACAUGAACUAAAUUACUUGAUACUCGAAUCAUGUGUGGAUCUAUAUGACGUUAUCAAAUAACUUUCCCAAUAAUCAAGUCAAAUACGAAUGGCAUUUUGUUUUUGGCUAGAGUUUGAAAAUUGGCUCAAACUUAAACUCAUUUAAUACUACAUCUCAAAUUUGUAGGUGAAAAAAUUCGAAGUACUGAAACAUGACUCGAAUUUGGUACAAUAAAAUGUUGUUUGAAUUUGGCUUAAUAGAUAAACAUGUCAAAUUUGAAAAUAAUUUUGUAAAGGCCUCAUGGUCCUUAAUCCUUUAGCUUUAAUAAUUAAUAGAACAAUGAUGAAUUGAUUAAUGAUUUAAUUGAGUUAAAUAAUAGAAUACAUUCAAAAGAAUAUGAGUGCAUCAUUGGAAGAGAAAAAAACGAGUCGAAAGUCGAAUAAUGACUGUCACACACAUCACACACAGGGGUUCAGAUGCCAUCCUUUGCUUUGGCCGUCCAAUAAGAAGAUAGUAGCACUGGACAAUUUUCGGAUGCAUGGUUUGGACGUGGAAUUUUGGUUCGGCCAUCCUAUCGAGGAUUGGACACGUGAAUCAAAGGCAGAGCUUUUGAAAUGGUGAAAUAGAAGGAGAGGAUGAUAUGAGACAAAUGGCAUUUAUGGCUAUUGGUAAUAAUAAGUUGAACUCUUUUACGAUUCAUAUGAUGCAGUAGAUGAUGAUUAUGGCGAAGAACCUUUUUUUUCUUCUCGAGUUUAUGAUGAAUUAAAAAAGGCUCAUACUAGAAAUAAAAACUUGAAAUUGAAAGUGACAAAGUUGAUAGAUGAAAACUCUAUGUUGGUCAAAGAGAAUAAGAAAUUGAUAUUUGAAAAUGAUGAUUUUAUAAAAAGCAAACUCAGUAUGGAUUCCAAGACAAACAAAAUUGAGAAGCUAAACAAAAAGUUAGAAGACAAGAUAAGAGUUUAUGAUAAAAUGAAAGAGGAACAACUUUUUAUGAGAAAAAUAAUUGAUGACUUAGUGCAUGUUUUGAGAAAUUCACAAAAGAAAAGGAUAAUUCAGAAAAGUUGUUGGAUAACCAAACAAUAGUAAAUGAUAAAAGUAGUAUUGGACAUGUGCCAAUAAAUAAUAAUGGAUAUAGAAAUUAUUUAUUAGAGCCACAUCCUCUAGUACUCCUAUUGUCACUUGCAAUUAUUGUUGUCAAAAUGAUCAUUUUUCUUAUAAUUACCAUGUUAAAAGAGGUGUACAAAAUGGUUUCAAAACCAUUUCCGUGAUUAAGAAAUCGACUAAUACUCAAGGACCUGAAAGGUUAUAAGUACCAAAAGCUAUAUCUUGCAUUUGAUGCAGGUGAAGAAGACAAUAAGAAGAUCCUAGUGAUUCUUGGAUAUUAGACCCUCAAGCCAUGCGCAUAAAGAUACUAAUGAAAUGAAAAGUGUGAAUGGGCUUGAAGAUCAAUUACCCUAUUGACGGUCUUUAUUGUGGGAAUCUUGGUUUUAUUAUGAUUUUAUGUCCUUGUGGAUUGCAUAUGAUUGCACUUAUCAGGAUAAUUUGUUAUUUGAUGAAAUGUGGCUUGUUGGAGUGUGUAGGCCUAUGCCCAAAUUGUGCAAAAAGGUCUUUCAAAAAUCUAGCAUUUAGAAUUUUCUUUUAAAUCAUAGGCUUUUAAAAUUAUGAAAUUUACUCCAAUUCCACACCUCAUUAUACUACAAGGUUUUAGCAAGUAAAGUGAGCAAGAUUUAGUCCACAAGACCCCAAACCAGCAGACUUAAAGGCCAAAGAAUAGCAAAGUAUAAAACUGCCCAACAUACCCGAAACUUCAGCAAUGAAACAAGUACAAACAUGAGGUUUUCACCUUUCAAAAUUCGUAGGUUUCACACAAGAUCAGCACACCAAAGUAUUAACUAGGGUUUGAAGCAACGUUUGGCCAAAACUCAUCAUAAUACGGUUGAAAAACAAGGUGUAACAUGGCCCUUCAAUUCGGCCAGCAAGCAUCGAGUUUGGCCUGUAUGCAAGACAGCUUAGGAAGAACCAAAAGAACACCAAUAAAACGUUUCCAAAUUAACUCAAAUUCAACAUAACAGCAAGGCUUACGAUUUUACCAAGAACCCUAAACAAAAAUUACCACAAAUACACCCCACAAUUAAAGGGAAACAAACUACUACAAUCCGGACAGCAUUUCCCAUGUUUUCCUUCAAUUUUCCACCAAAUCACAAAGUACAACCUCUUAGCAAAUCUACCACAAUCAAGACUAUAAUUUCCAGAUUAUAAAGGGUAGUAAUUCUAAGCCAUAAAGCUGUAAGAAACCCUCAAUUCCAAUCAUAAAACCAAGCUCAAAAUGGUUUAACAACUCCAACUUAAAGUUGGUAAUGGAAGCAAGAACAACUUUAGAAAACAAAAUUUUCUCCAGUUUUGCGUGACACUAUUUGAAAAAUUUAUAAACUUUAUACUAUUGGAAAAUAGACUCAAAGGGUUACAAUUUCCCAGAAGACACAUUUGCAAGAUUCAGUCCACAAGUCAAUCAAAUUUCAACCUCAAGUUGCUGCUUCAUCCAGUAGAAAGACAGAGCAGGUGUGGAAAUUCAGUCAACUUUAGAAAAUCACAGAUAUUCAUAGGAAUUGAGAAAAAUUCUGAAAUUUUCACGGUAUAAAGUAUUCUAAAUCUAGUUUCAAACGCAAUAAGCAAAACUCAAUUUGAAUUUUUCUACUCUAAGAUAUAAUAGAUUUCCCAAGACUGCUCAGAGUCACCUGCGGGAAAAUUUUUUUAACAACACUUGACUCAACCUUCCCAUUUAAACUCAUGAUUUUGGUUCUAAUCCAACUCACAAUCAAAGUUUAACGUCCAACAUAGUUUGUGGAGCAAGAUUUACCCCAAAAUUUCUUGAAAAUAAGGGCUAAUAGCACUCAAAAGUUUCAACCAUCAAGAAGCUUUCAAAACAGAAUUUUUUUCAACAAAAUCCAACCAAGAUUCAAGCUUUCCAAGAAAUAUACACACAAGCCACAUCAUCAAGCUUUAAGGCACCAAAAUCUACCACAAACAUUCAUCAUAAAAGUACAAGAAUGAACCUCAAGUCAUCUACCUAGCUUCCCAUGAAAACACAAGGAAUUUUCCUCAAGUCAUCUACCUAAAUCGAAGUUUCAAGGAAACCCAUCAAAGAUUCAAUUUUUUUAGCUACAAAUCUACUAGAAACUUGAAGGAAAAAGAGGGUUUCAAGCCAAUACCUCUCCUAGCAAUUUCAACGAAGCAACAAGCCCAAGUUUCCUCGAAGAGUUGCUCCGAAGCAAGACUUUCUUCCAAGCUCAAGCAAGAUUCCAAGAAUCAACCAAAGUUGGAGAAGAUUUGAAGCAAAAAUGGAGGAAAAAAGUUGAGCUUUUCUUCUUCUUUUUUUUAUCUAGCUCUCGGCCCUCUCUCUCUCCUUUCUUCUUGAUUUUGGUUGUUUUAUUUUUUUUUUAAGGCAAGAAAGGAAAGAUAAAAUGAUAAGAAAGCUUGAUCAAAGGUCUCACUUGAAGAUUUGAAGCAAAAAUGGAGGAAAAAAGUUGAGCUUUUCUUCUUCUUUUUUUUUUCUAGCUCUCGGCCCUCUCUCUCUCCUUUCUUCUUGAUUUUGGUUGUUUUAUUUUUUUUAAGGCAAGAAAGGAAAGAUUAAAUGAUAAGAAAGCUUGAUCAAAUGAUAAGAAAGCUUGAUCAAAGGUCUCACUUGGUUCCUAUGGUGACACUUGUCACCUUCUAGAGUUCUUUAGCUCCAAGUGUCCCAAUACUUGUCACCUUCUAAAACUCUCAACUUCAAGUGUCCCAAUUCUCUCUCUUAUUGCACUAAAGUCCUCCCUUUUUUUUUUCCAAAAGUUCCUUUUACACCCCACUAAAUAGAAAAUUUUCAUUUUACCCCGCACAUUAACUUUCACAUGUAAAAUUUAAUAACAGUAUUAAGGCAAAAUCAUCAUCAAAUUAAUAAAUAACCAAAUAGAUGACUUAAUAAAUAAAAUAUCAUGUAGUCAAACUAGAUAAAUUAGCAAAUUUCUAGGUUCUCACACCCUCUCUCCCUUAAAAGAAUUUCGUCCUUGAAAUUCUCACAGUUGCUCGUAAAACUCGAUUCUAUAGGGUUUUCUCCACUUCUCAAGAGUUCCCUCUCUUCCAUGAUGCUUACACAAUUGAAUUACUAAAUACAUACUACCCUUUCUAAUCGAAAGUCCUUCCUUCCUUACAAUCCACAAAUAAAAAUUCUUGUUCAAAACCAAGAAUAUAGUGCACAAAUUGAAUCAUGGAUAGGGGUUUAAUUCCAACCAAAGACAGAUGUUUAAUAUCACUAAUCAAAACAUUAGGCACUAAGUUCACUGUUUCUAACGGAGGUACAACUUAUAUAUAAAUCUCUCACUAUACAUAGUCUAAUAAAUACAGCUAUUUCAAGUAAAACAUCACUAAUUGCUAAUUUUAACUAUUAUAGCAGCUUCACCCUUGCGAAAUUCAUUUAUCUUGGAUAGUUCCUCACUUAAAUCUGAGACUUAGUUGCAGCAAUAGACUCAUGGAUAGGAGUUUAACGCCAACCAAAAAUAGACAUUUCAAAUUACUAAUGCAAACGUCAGGUUUCAAGUUCAAAGUUUAUAUCUGGAAUCCAACUUACUACGUAAAACUUUCGCUACAUAUAGUCCAAUAAAUAUAACUCUUCCAGAUAAAACAUCAUGAAGGGCUAACUUCAACUAAAAUAGCAGAUUUUCCAUAGUUUAAGUCAUUUAUUUCGGGCAGUCUCUCACUUGACAUCCAAAGUUGUUGCAUCUAUAAGGUACCAAUUUUCAACUCACACCUUCCAGUAUGAAGUUUUGUCAUAGAUUUCACAUUUAGAAGUUACAAAUCUCUUCUUAAUGUAUCUCUUCUUUCUUUGUAUCGUGGGAGUUUCCUUCAUCACUUUUAAUUUGGUUGCUAGGAAUGUUUGGGAGAGACAACUUGAGUAGGUGUAUGCACCAAUAAUUUUUUUUCGUACCUUAUUUCACAAUUCCUCUUGUUUCCUCUCGUAUUUUCCUCGUUUUUUCACGUUAUUGUUCAGUAACUCACUUUUGUUUCCAUUGUCCUUCCCAGUGGUCAGCUAGUUUUUUUGUAGAACUCUACCUCCUUCCGACAAACCUCUCUUUCCUCAUGUAUAUUUUUCAAAUUCUUCAUAUCACCACUUCACUUUAACUCAAAUGAAAACUUGCUAGGUAGACCAAAAGAUUGAUAGGAGUGGCUAAUCACAAGUUAAAACUCUAACCAUAUAUCUCUUAAGGUCUUUUACUUCCAAACUAGCCAUUAACUAGUCUCAACCAAGAUAAAUGAAAAGAGAAACGCAAGGAGGAAAAUACCUUAAGAUACUAUACCAAUUACUCCCAUUCUGGGGUCUUAUACACAUAAUGAAGCACUGAAUCAUACUCCUUAGAUCAUAAGUUCCAGACCUUAACUUACUCUCAUUUAUACACUCACUUACAAACUUGCUCAAGAAGAAAUCAUGACCCCUUACCCCUACUAGUACCUUUUACCAUCCUUCUUCAAGGCGGUCAUCCGAAUUCUGCCAAAAGUUACAUACAAGCAUAGAACCUGCAUCCUUGUCCCUAAAAUCUUCAUACAUAAUUCAUAAUUUAUAGAAAAAUAGAAAUCAAAACCAAGUUCCUAUGUGGCAUCGUAAAAAGGUAGGAAAUAUACAAGGGUAGUCAAACAAGAGUUAAAAUGAACUCAUAAGAAAUACAUAUGUAACUAUAAUCAGAUCACAACAAAAUUAAGGAAACACGGGACAAGGGUACAACAGGUAUAGGAGAAAUGAAACAGACCUGCAAUACUAGUACCUUAAACAUUCACGACGACUGCAAGCUAGCCAUCAUCUAUAGAAACCCUAGCUAGAUAUGUACAAGACUAGUCCAUGACGACACCCAUUGAUCCACUUUUCUUGAUCGGUUCAAUCUCAGGUCCAACACUAUAAUCCCUCACGUCUUCACCUUUGCCAUAACAAUUUAUCUCAAAGGCAGUCGUGAUGUUGACUCUCAUCCAAAUGCCCUCAACUCUUGGGUACUUGGGUACAAGAAUCCAAAAAUAGGGUAAUUCACAACUCGAGCUGGCCAGUCCCAAGAGUAAAUCACCUACAUUUGAAAUUCCUACCAGACGUAUAUAUCUAUCUUCCCCACGUAUCAUGAUAAAGGUUUUAUGCCUAUAACAUUCAUGAUCCAUAGCUUACGUUCAUGAAGAGCACUUAGUCCUUUACACCCAUUCACGCAAUCGGGACCAUAACACCACUCGACCCAAUCUCAACCUGUGCAGAGACAACGCGAGAUGGCUCUGAUACCACCUGUGACGAUCCCACCUCCCUCUAAGGCGAAUCAAAAAGGGUUAGCGGGCUGCUUGCCCAACUCUCACCAGGACUCAGUCACGCGCUACGAAAUUUUAGAACAAUAACAUCAAUAAUAAAAGUGAUAACAAAUACAACCUCUAAUGUGUAUAGUUAUGGGCCUCAAAUGCCCGUACAAUCUAUGAAUACAACCACGGAGUAAAUUUUACAAAAUCAAAACCACGCAAGCAAGCUAGAAAUUCUAAGAGGUUCUCACGCGAGCAACUAACAAACUUAGGUGAAAUCUAAGCCUUUUCCAAUUUCCACUCUCGCGUUCUCAUCCCUGUAAGAAAAACAAAUUCAUAAAAUGAGGUAAAAGCCCAGUGAAGUUCCAAGUAAACAGGCAAGUAAACUAACAGGCAUGAGACAAUUUAUAGGAUGUCAAGAAGCAAGUCAUAUCCAGAUAGAUCAUGGUCUAACAUACAGUAAUGCAGGUAAACCAGAUAGAUCAUGCAACAAAGUACAGUAAAAAAAACAUGUUCAUGGCAAAGGAUACAGAUUGCUCUUAGGAACAGGUUCCACGGCAGCUUGUCCAGGGUCGGUUGAAUGUCCGUCAACCAUGAAAUUAUAAUGUCCGUAGAUCACCACUAAACGUCAAUCUUUGUCCACCGAUCAUCCCCUUGUGAUGUGUGCACGAGUCUCGGCCCACGCAAUGACCCAGUCCGAGUUCCAUUGGGCCCAGUCACACGUGCACGGGCCAAGCUCUUCAAAGAAUCACUCCAAGCCCUGGUUCAAGUCGUCCAAGACCAACAUGGAGUUCACAAAGAUAUUGAGGGCUUAGAGAGAGACAAUCAAGCCAUUUGCACCAUGAUCCAAGCCCACGAAAACUCAAGUGGGCCUUCAAGAGGACCGGCCCUAUAGGGCCUUAGCCUUAGUAUUUGAUAGAUUGGAUUAAUUUGUCUUCAUAGCUCAUUGGGCCGGCCCAUCUUGGACACCAAGAUGGCCGAACUCUUUGCCAUUGUUUCCUUAGGUUUUCUUAGUCACUUUAGCCUAUAAAUAGGCUUGCUUUGUAAGGUUUUAGGGUAGUCGUUUUAUCAAUAAAAUUGGUUUAAUUCGUUCCUUCUUCUAAGAAGAGAGUUCGAGCACUUUAACUUGCUUUGGCAAGGGUUAUUGAGCAAUCUUGCGUCCUGUCCUCGAUUGUUCAUCCGACCUAUUCCCCUGGAGUAUUCACCUUCAUCGGAGUGUCGUCUACCACCUAAAUCAAAUCGUGUCGUCCGUUUGAUUCUAGGUCCCGCAAUCCAAGCGUUGGACAACCUUGCUAGAUCCUUGGGCAAACGUGCUACGUGUCUCGAAACAAGUUGAUCGAGGAACGUAUCAGUUGGCUUCAGAGCUUUGGUGGAGGUAUCUUCCGUUAUAUCCGUAGUUUGUCUUAGUUUUCCUUAUUUCCGCUGCACUUGUCUCAAAAAAAAAAAAAACUCAAGUGCAAUGAAGGAACAAUGGUCCGAGAAGGAUAGAGUGGGAAAAGACAAGAAUAAUUUGGUCUUAGUGAAGAGUAAAAAGGAGGAGUUGGCCGUGUUUGCAAAGGCUGAAAAUGUGAACAUUUUGUUUGCUAACCGGCUAACGUGUGUUUUGUUUAUUACCUCUUCUUUUGUGCAGCUUAAACAAAGUCAAGUAGUGGUUGGUCAUGCAUGUUCCAUUCCCAAGUCACUUGGACACUUUGUGAAUUUCCGUGGGGUUUGUCUUCUUGGAACUAAAUCUCUCUGGUAUCAAUUCAUGAAACAAUGUCCAUUCAAACCUGUCCAUACCAUUGAAGGGUUCAUUCAAGCUCAUCUUAAAAGGGAAUUUCCAGAUUCUACUGCUUGUUCUCUAUCUAUGGUUCAUUCAUCACCUUUGCCUUAUUUUGAGCAUGUUACUAGCACUAACUCUUGUUGCUCUUAUGUAGGUGUUGAUGAGAAGUGUAAAGGACUAGCACUGGAAUCUCAAGUUGAAUCAAUUGGUGGAAGGAAUAUUGAAGUGUCAAAGGGAGUUUUCUCAUUUAAAUCUUGUUCUACACCUUCUUACCAUUUAGUUAAUAAUGUCUCAUUCUUUCUUUAUCCGAUUUCUGAAUUGUUUCAAGUUGAAGGUUAUUUUGUGUUUGUAGGUUGUAAAGCUGUCCAAAAUUUUCCAACUAUGACUAAAGAGUUGCAACCUGAUUUCCUGCUUGUUCCAGCUGCAUGUUGCGCGAAUGCAUGUGAUUCGCAUAGAGUGAACUUCACUUCAUUACCGCCGCUUAUGUUGGGUGAUGCACACAAGUGUGUCAAUCAAGAUCCGAAUGCUAUCCUUACCUCACUGGCUCAUGCUUCUGUGGAUGAACAACAUGAUUGGUUCAAUGUUCUACCUACAAAUGCGACAGCCGUGCCAAACCAGCGACAACCAAGGAUGAGUCAUGCCACCUUGAACAACCAGAUUCAGAAUUUCUCUAGCUUCCAUGAGGAUCAUUAUUACGAGCCUUACCUUGUGCAUGAGAAGGAUAAGUUGUGGCCCUAUUAUACACCUAUGACCACUACCUAUGAGAUUUAUUGUAUAGGUGAUAAUAUGACAAUCGAUGCCCAAAAGCUGAUUAGAGAGCUUUGGAUUGCUACCUGGAUUUUUCACAAGCUCUUUCCUAUCUUGGCGCAUGUCAUUGUUUGAGAGCCUCAUGAAACUGACCAAACGACAUUUAACUUGGCUCGUGACCUUUCAUUUGUUCCUAACGUGGCUGACCUCCAAGCGCACUAUCGAUUUGAGGUGUCAUACUACUAACUCUUGUUAGUAUCAUUCAUCCCCAUCUAGAUUGAGGACAAAUCCUUCUCAAGAGGAGGGGACUGAUGUGUGCACGGGUGGCGGACCUUGAAGGCUUGAAGGAUGUUAAUCAAGUUACCUACUCAUUGAUCCAAGUCCACGAGGAGCCAAGUGAUGGUUGUUAGUUUGGGCUCUAGCCCGCUAGUUAGUCUUUGUAGUUUUUCCAAUUAAAGGGAGUCGGCCAACUGUUGGGCCUUUUUAGUCUUGAGCCGUCAGGUUAUUGUUUGGAUUAGUCACUAGUUGUAGGGCUUCUUGAGCCAUGGAUUCGGCCCACCUUGUCAAGCCUGGCCGAACCUUUAUUUCCUUUUUACUAGCAUUAGGGUUUCAUUAGUUUGCCUAUAUCAAGGCUUGCUUUGUAAACAUUAGGGGGGACGUUUUAUCAAUAAAGUUUGUUAUUUUUCGAUUCUUCUUCUUGAGAGAGAAUUCGAGCCUUUCACUUGCUUUGGCAAGGGUGUUGAGCAAUCUUGCAUCUUGUCCCUGAUUGUUCUACCGACCUAUUUCCCUGGAGUAUUCACCUUCAUCGGAGUGUCGUCUACCGCCUUUAGUCAAAUAGUGCCGUCCGUUUGAUUCUAGGUUCCGCAACCCAAGCGUUGGACAACCUCGCUAGAUCCUUGGGCAAACGUGCUACGUGUCUCGAAACUAGUUGAUCGAGAAACGUAUCAGGAGAGUAAGAGGGUUUGCACAGGGACUCAAUGUGAAAAUACAGGAGCCUUAGCGGCAGCACAAAUUAAUACUUUUACGGAGGUUCUGGAGAAAGCCCAGAGAAUAGAAAUUCCCAGGGCACAAGUAAGGGCUUUUCACGCAAAACGGAGAGGUGCGCCUGGUGAAAGUCAAGGGCAGAAACAAGGUGAUCUAGGUAUGCCACCCUCUAAGAUGAGUCGAGGAGAUUGUGGUGAGGAAAUUUCGGGGACACCUAAGGGAAUUACUUCAAGAGGGGCCUCAGGUGGAAAGGGGCAAGCAAGAGGUGCCUCGCAAGGAGGUCAGACCCCAGCCCCUCGAGUAUUUGGAUACUGUGGGAAAUCCAACCACACAGAAGAUAAUUGCUGGCGAAAGGCUCGAAGGUGUUAAAGGUGUGAAGUACUGAGCACCAGAUCGCCAAUUGUCUAGUGAUCAGUGAUACCCAGCCAGCCAACACAUCAAACCCUAAAAAAAACCGAAUAGAGGAGGGGAUAAAUCCAGAGUGCCAGCUAGAGUAUAUGCUUUAGACCACCAAGGUACAAUUCAUGUUUUCCCUUGUCUGGCCGCAUGUUUGGCCAAUGGUGAGUUUUGGGAGCUAAAGAAUGACAUGCAAGAAAAUACCAUGAGCUAUUUACUGAUAUAUGCAUGAAUUUCGAGGACGAAAUUCUUUUAAGGGGGAGAGAGUGUGACGACUCGUCAAAAUUCCUUAUAUUUUUCUUAAAAAUUCCCUUUUAUUCGAACUUUAUUACUUUAGACUAGUCUUACAACUCAAUCACCCCACAAUAAGUGCAAAUGAACAUAGAAUUAAGGGUUUUCCCUUUCGUUUUCAAGUUAUCGCCAAUUAGGGUUUUUUUUUACGCCUUUUUGUAGUGUGACUAUUCGGUACGGAGUGUGUAUCAAAUUUGGUGAUUAAGAGUGAGUUUUAGAUGAUAUUAAGUGUGUGAUUAGAAGUGAUAAUAAUAAGUUAGUAAAUUAUAAGAUAAAACCCUAGUAUACGCGAUUUAAAAAAAACAGGUUGAACCGACGGGUACCGUUUGUUACCGAGUGAGUGCACCACUUGAACACUACUUUAUUACCUUAAUCUCCUUGCUAUUAAUUGAUUAAUAUCAGCCCCAAAAUAUCCUCAAGGCAGCCGAAAUAUUGGACCAAAAAUAAGAGAGAAAAGAACAAAAUUUGACUACCAAUCAAAGUGUGACACUUGUCACCUUUGACCCAAAUUCAUUUCUAUCAUUUUAAACCUUCUUGAAGCUUCAUUUGAGCCUUCAUUUUCAGCCUAGCAGCCGUGAGAGAGAGGGAAAAACAGAGAAAAAGAACUUCAAUUCCAUCUUGGGUUUUGCUUGAUUGAGUGAGAAAACAAGAAAACUAAACCGAUUAAACUUACCUUGUGGUUUUGGCAAGCUUUGUGUGGAAAAAUAUUUGGAAGAAAGUGGUGUGUUUCUUACCUACAAAGGACCUUUGGAAGGUACCAUGGCUGCCUAUCCCUUUUGAUACGGUCCUCGAUCAACUUGUUUCGAGACACGUAGCACGUUUGCCCAAGGAUCUAGCGAGGUUGUCCAACGCUUGUAUUGCGGGUCCAAAACCAACACGGACGACACGAAUUGGUUGAAGGCGGUCUGGAACGACGACUCCAGUUGAGGUGAUUACUCAAGGGGAUAGGUCUAGAACAAUCUAAGACCUUCGCAAGAUUGCUCAAGCCCUUGCCAGAAGCAAGUAAAGCUCGAAAUUCUCACAAGGAAGAAAGUCAAAAAACUAAGUAAUUUUAUUCAUAAAAACAUCUAUCCCAAAACCUUACAAAGCAAGCCUUUUUAUAGGCUAUUGGCUACUAAAACCUAAGGAAACAGGGAAGGGAAUUCGGCCAUCUUGGGAUCAAGAUGGGCCGGCCCAUGUUCUUACUAGAACAACUAAUCUAACUCUCAACUAAACACUAAGGCCUAAGGCCUUAUUCGGCCAACUCGCUUGGAGGCCCUUCAUGGGCUUGGAUCAUGUGUAGAAACUUGAUUGUCUCCUUCCAAGCCUUCAAUAUCUCUAUGACUCCAUGUUGGUUGGACAAUUUGAACAAGAGUGUGAGAACCCUAAAAAUUUCACAUUUUCUCAGCCUUUUGUUUAUUCUCAUUCCCCUUUUUAAGUGAAAAUUUGUUAACCAUUUGUUUUAAACAAAGGAAGGUUUUGUUAUUACGUGUAUUUGUGUGAGAUAUAUGUAUAGAUUUGUACGUGUUAUUACGUGUAUAUUCGAUGUUCGUACUCUUUUUUGAGAUAGAAAUGUAUAUAAGUUUCGCUUUAAGUUUUGGAUUGUUGCUAUGUUUAUUCCUAUGGUUUUAUUCCGGUUUUAAUUGAGGACUGAAGUGAACAACUGAGUCCCGGCGAGAGUUGGGCAGGCGGUCCGCCAAACCCUUUGGUACACCUUAGGGGGAGGUGAGGCUGUCACAGUUGGUAUCAGAGCCUGCUUCGCGUGGUCUUUGCGCGGAGUGAGCUUGGGCUAAGUGGUGAAUAAGUAUGAAGGGCUAAGUGCUCAUUUGAGCAUAAGUUAUGAAUCAUGAAUUGUUAUAGGCCUUAAAUGGUUCUUAUGAUAUUUGAGGACAAUAGAUAGGUACGUCAGGUGGGAAUCUCGAUUGUAGAUAGUUUACUCUUGGGACUGGCCAGCUCGAGAGGUGAAUUAUCUUAUUUCGGAUUCUCGUGCCCAAGUACUCUGGAAUUGAGGCGAUGCUAAGUACUUGAGACCUGCAUUUUGGGAACAUGAAUAGGCUUCAUUUGGCUAGAAAGAGUACAAGAGGUCAACAGACGUCUAGUUGGAUAGAAAGUGACGUGAGAGACCGGACGGGGUUAUUUUAACUGAAAUCGGGACGACAUAUUGCCUUUUCUUUUAAUUCGCCCUUAUAUCGUUACUACAUGACGUUAGUUUGUGUAUUUGUGUCUAUGAUUACCUGUCUAAUUUGAUAUGUAUUUGUGUAUUUGACCAUCUGUUUUCUUGAUAUAUGGUGUGUUAUGUGUGUAUAUGUCUAUUGGUAUAGUGGUGUGCUAGAAUUUAGUUACUUUAGUUAACUUACUGCAUUUAUUCAUUAAAUUACCUUUUGGAAAAGAGAGAGAGAGAGAGAGAAAGAAGGGUAUGGAGGGAAGACGUAGUCGCGGACGUGGUCGUCGCCGUGGGACUAAGCGAGCCCAAGAGCUAAGAGAAGAAAGGGAAACAACAGUUGAACAAGAACAAGGACCGAGGGUUGAAGCCGGGACCAAAUGGCGACGGUAAUUCAACAAAUGACAAACAUUUUAGCAAGGUUGGUGGACCAACAAGGUCAAAUACCUGUGAAUCAACCCAGAACCCUGAAAUAGAAGAAGAUCGGGCUCUUGAGAGGUUUCAAAAAUUUGUACCUCCGAAAUUCCUUGGAGGGCCUAAUCCGGAUAUAGCUGAACAGUGGCUGGAGGCCAUGAUCAACAUCUUUGCGGCUUUAAAUUAUACUGAGCAAAGACAAGUGAAUUUUGCGGUGUUUCAAUUUGAAGGACCGGUCCGAGUAUGGUGGAACGUGAUUAAAGCAAAGUGGGAAAGAGAACAGACUGCAUGGACAUGGGCGAAUUUCAUAAGAGAAUUUAAUGAGAAGUACCUCCCACCUUUAGUCCAAGAAAGGAGAGAGGAGGAGUUUAUUGGGCUACGCCAGGGAACCCAAAGUGUUUUUUUUUUUUUUCCAAAAGGGGAAAAUUCCCCAACUUUUAUUAAUUGGAAACGCUAAAAAUACGAAGGAGGGAAAAGUCCCAACCUUCAAUACAUGCCAGAGAACUAGGAGUACUAUUCCUAAACAUUAAAGUUACGAAUAUAUGGAUAACCUAUUGCAUCCAAAUUAAUCAACGACCCAAAGUGUGGCCGAAUAUGAAACAAAUUUACCAAUUGUCUAAGUUUGCUUCCGAAUUAGUGGCCACGGAAUAGAGAAGGGUGAGACGGUUCAUACAGGAAUUGAAUUUGGAAAUUUAAGAAGCUCUAGCGGCGGUGCAGGUUAAUACUUUCACGGAAGCCCUUGAGAAAGCCCAAAGAAUUGAGGCUGCGAAAGCACAGAUAAAAGCCUCCCAAACCCGAAAAAGGGGUGCAUCGGGUAGUGUGUUUGAGGAACUUAGUGACUCAAUAGCACCUUCUAAAGUGCAAAAAGGGAACCCUUUACCCCGCCCACCAUGGACAUUAGGGGCGUUCGAUGAAGGGCUACAAAAGGAAGUCAAAUCGGACAUGGAGAGAUAGCUCAAGAAAGCCAAAAUGUGGCUUCUCACUUGGUCUGUGGAUACUGUGGGAAGGCAAAUCAUGCCGAAAGCGAUUGUUUGAGAAAAGGGCGGAGGUGUUUGAUUUGUGGAAGCGGUGACCACCAGGUUGGCAACUGUCCAAGGAAACAGUCACGUGAAAGUAGUACUCAGCAACUGGGAGGAACCAAAUCAAACCAGCAAAUGAAAGAGGGAACCGAACAAGUGUACCGGCAAAAGUGUAUGCUUUAGAUAACCAACAAGUAUUGGACUCGUCUGAGGCAAAUGAAGGUAAAAAUUUCGAGGACGAAAUUUCUUAAGGGGGAGAGAGUGUGAGAACCCUAAAAAUUUUCACAUUUUCUCAACCUUUUGUUUAUUCUCACUUCCCCUUUUUAAGUGAAAAGUUGUUAACCAUUUGUUUUAAACAAAGGAAGAUUUUGUUAUUACGUGUAUUUGUGUGAGAUAUAUGUAUAGAUGUGUAUGUGUUGGAAGUACGGAUGAGCGCGGCAAUUGAAUUAGGAAAAGAAGGAAAUUUGUGAGAAAAGUGAAGGGCCAAAUCCGGCAGCAAAUCCGGCCAAGAUUGUUGAAGGGUUUUGAAAAAAAAAUUAUUCUCCUCUGCCUGGAAUCCGACCUGGAAUCCGGCCGAGAAUCUGGCCAGAAACCGGCCGGAUUGUGACGUGUCACAGGCGGCCACCAACUUUGACCGCCUGUUUCCUUCCUUUUUAUACUGUUUUUGGCCCAAAAUGUCUUCAUUUCUUCCUUAGCUCAGCCGUGCACCAUAGAGAGAAGAAAGAAAGCUCUUCAUUUCCUCACUUUAAUUUUCACUCAAAUCUUGAGAUUUCACCGUUGGAUUUUCAAACUACUCCGUACAAGGGCUAGCUAAGAAGGGUUAAAGGUGAUAGUGGAGUUGUUUUUGGAAGGAAAGCUUUAAGUUCCUACCUUUCUUGAGUUAUAAGGUGAGUUGCUUAGAAAGUUCCUUUUUUAUUUUCCUAAUGGUAUAUUGGUGGAUUGUAAAGGUUAAAGAUGCUAUUUUGUGGUUGGUUUCAUGAAUUUAAGUGGAGUUGGUCCAAUUUCUGAUUUAUUGGAAAUUUUUCUGAUUUUAUAUGAUAAUCAUGGAUUGUCCUUGGAUUGAUGGAUUGAGAUGGUGUUAAAUGGAGCUUUUGUGCGUUAAUUGCGAUUGUUUGUGGACAAUUUCCGCUCGUGGGAUAAAUUCCGGUUCUAGGGUUUUGAUUUGGGGGUUUUCAUAUGGUUGGCUUUUAAACUUCUAAUUAGCUUUGAUUGAAGGAUAUUAUGGCCUAAUGCUUGUUAACCGUAUGUGUGAUUGUGGUUAAAUUGCUGUGAGAAUUGGUUUUUGGAUUAUAGGGUGAAAGUGAAGAAUUUAAGGGGAAAUGCCGUCCGUUUAUUUUCUUGUAAUAUGAGUGAGUUAAAGUGGUUUUGGAAAUGUGUUUUGUGUCAAGUUGGGCGUAUUUCAUAGAAAACUACAUUGGUGCUCGUGAAGGGUGUUCGAGAAGCUACGUUCUAUUUAAAAUCCUAUAUUUCCGCUUGGUGAAUAUCAUGACCGUUUUACCAUUUUAAAACAUGAUACCUCUUCAAUUUGAAACUCCAAAUGUUUACUUACUCCUUUCCAAAAUAAAAAGGUAUGAAUAGGGUUUUCUCGGCUACGAGAAAACUACUUUCAAGUGAGGUUUUAAAUGUGAAAUUACGGUUUUUUGUCCUCCUUCUCACGUGAUUUUCAUCACGACAUUUGUAUAUACUGUUUAAUUGAUUAUAAGUUGAUUUUGAGUCACAAAAACGAUUCAGAAAGAAUAUUUCCUUAGCCCUAAUCUAUUUGGAUACUGAUUGUCUUUGCGUCCAAGUAUUUUCCGUUGGAACUUUUAUAACCCUUUUGAGUUUAGUUUACGUUUGUUCGUGAAACCUUAGUUAUUCCCGUCUUCAGAUCCAAAUACCCUCUUUCACUUGAAGUCAUCUUUAUACGUUUUACUCGUAGUUAGUCGGGUUUCUUCGAUUCACUUAAUUGUUUUGCUAGAUAAACUGUAAUAUUAUAUUCUCGUUUAAUCUUAGGUUUCAUUGGUGACUGAGGGUAAUAUCCGAAAGGAUAUUUUGGACGUUAUUUUGCAUAACUAGGUGAGUGUUCCUUGUUGUUAUACUUUUCUUGACUUCAUGGCUUGUUGUAAUUGUUGAUAAUGUGUUAAGUGCUCUUAAUGAUUGCCAAAAUGAUGUUUUCUAGGCGAGUGUGUACUUUAUCGCACUCAACCUAAAUGAAUGUGAAAUUUUCAAAAACGUUACUUGUGCAUGAAUGUUUGGCUGAACUGGGCCCUGCCCUUCGUUACUAAUCGACUCGAGCCAGAAGCGGACUCGGUCGGGCGAUUUGGUGACCCUGGGUGAAUGUUUGGUAUACUCGAGUAUUACCUUGUAGUCUGGUGGAGCCUGGCCAACGUCCAAGAGGGGGUGAAUGAAAUGAACGAAUGAAUGUUAAUGCAAAUGAGGGGUUUUACAGAUUUUGUGUUCGGAUGAACAGUAACGUGAACAGUACGAUGAACAGUGACUUUUUUUUUUAAACAAGGCAGCGGACAAAACACAAAAACCCUACGACACAACUACGAAAAACAAGGAUAUAACGAAAGAUACCCCCACCUAAGCUCUGAUACCAACUGAUACGGUUCUCGAUCAACACGUUUCGAGACACGUAGCACGAUUGCCCAAGAAUCUAGCGAGAUUGUCCAACGUUUGGAUUGCGGAACCUAGAACCAACACGGACGACAUGAAUUGGUAGAAAGCGGUAGAACAACGACUCCAAUCGGGGUGAAUACUCAAGUGGAUAGGUUGGACGAACAAUCAAUGACAACACGAGAUUGCUCAAGAACCCUUGCCAAAAGCAAGUAAAGGAACGAAAUUCUCACAAGAAGAAAAUCGAAAGAAGACAAAUUUAUUAAUCAAUCGAGUCUACCCUUAAUGCUUACAAAGCAAGCCUUUAUAUAGGCAAACUAACGAAACCCUAAUGCUAGUAAAAGAAAAUAAAGGUUCGGCCAGGCCUUGGACAAGGUGGGCCGAAUCCAUGACUCAACAAGCCCUACAACUAGUAACUAAUCCAAAUAAUAACUUGACGGCUCAAGACUAAAAAGGCCCAACAGUCGGCCGACUCCCUUUAAUUGGAAACACUACAAAGACUAACUAGCGGGCUAGAGCCCAAACUAACAACCAUCACUUGGCUCCUCGUGGGCUUGGAUCAAUGUGUAGGUAACUGGAUUAACAUCUUUCAAGCCUUCAAGGUCUCUAUGAAAGCCUUGAGCCAAGGCCGCCAUCCAUCUCGCCAUCCGUGCACACAUCAUGAAGUCAGUGUCAUGUGCAUAUAGGUCCUUAAGCAUUUCAAAUCCUAACAACUUAGCAUCAAGCACAGCAAGCAAGGAAUGUCUACGUGACAAAGCAUCAGCUACCACAUUCAUUUUGCCAGUUUUGUUCUUAAUGACAUAAGAGAAGGUAUCAAUGAAACUUACCCAUUUGGCGUGGCGCUUGCUCAACUUGGGUUGGCCCUUGAGAAAUUUCAAGGAUUCGUGAUCAGUGUGUAUCACGAACUCCCUUGGGCGUAGGUAGUGUUGCCAAGUCUCCAAUGCUCAUACAAGGGCGUAGAGCUCCUUAUCGUACAUGGGGUAGUUCAGGGCAGCACCUCCUAGCUUCUCACUAAAGAAUGCACAAGGCAGCUGGUCUUGCAUGAGAACAGCGCGAAUACCUACACUAGAGGCAUCACAUUCAAUUUCAAAGGUCUUGUGAAAAUUUGGUAAUGCCAAAAUAGGUGCAUGUGUGAGUUUGUCUUUGAGGGUGAGGAAUGCUUGUUCUUGGGCUUCUCCCCAAUAGAAUUUGUCAUUCUUCUUGGUCACCGCAGUCAAUGGGGUAGCAAUGGUGCUGAAGUCUUUGACAAAUCGUCGGUAGAAAGCCUGCCAAUCCAUGGAAGCUGCACACCUCAUGGACGGAUGUUGGAGUUGGCCAUUGCUAGAUGGCCUCAAUCUUGGACUCGUCCACUUUGAUUCCCUGUGAGCUCACUACAUAUCCUAAGAACACAAGCUCGUUAGUACAAAAGGUGCACUUCUUAAGGUUUGCGUAUAAACGUGCCUGUCGAAGUGUCCCAAGAACUAAUCUCACAUGCUCCAUGUGCUCGUGUUCACUGCAACUAUAUAUUAGAAUAUCAUCAAAGUAAACAAUGACGAAUUUUCCAAUGAAAUGCCUAAAACAUGGUUCAUUAACCAUGAAUGUACUAGGGGCGUUAGUCAACCCAAAAGGCAUGACUAGCCACUCACAGAGACUAUGUUUGGUUUUGAAAGCCGUUUUCCAUUCAUCGCCUUCUUUCAUCCUAAUUUGAUGAUAGCCACUUCUUAGGUCAAUUUUAGUGAAUAUAAUAGCACCAUCGAGUUCAUCAAGCAUAUCAUCUAGCCUAAGAAUGGGAUGACGAUACUUCACAGUAAUAGCAUUAACGGCCCUACUGUCAGUGCACAUGCGCCAAGUACUAUCCUUUUUGGGGACAAGUACCACAGGCACAGUACAAGGACUUAGACUCUCUUUUACCCAACCCUUACCUAAUAGGCCAUCAACUUGCCGUUGAAGCUCCUUUGUCUCCUCAGGACCCAUGAGGUAAGCCGAUUUGUUGGGUAGUGGUGCUCCAGGAAUCAGGUCUAUUUAAUGCUGAAUCCCUCGAAAGGGUGGUAAACCAUCUAGGACCUCAUCAGGGAACACAUCCUCGAAUUCCUGCAAAAAAGCAACUAUACUCGAAGGCAAUGCCUUAUCGAGCUCAGCAACAUCUAAAAGCACAUGUUUGCAAAUCAUGAGAAGUACAGGUUGAUCAGAAUUCACAACUUUCCUAACAUCCUUAGCCUUAAUGAUCAUGUGAUACGGUCCUCGAUCAACACGUUUCGAGACAUGUAGCACGUUUGCCCAAGGAUCUAGAAAGGGUUGUCCAAUGCUUGGAUUGUGGGACCUAAAAUUAACACGGACGACACGAGUUGGUUUAAGGUGGUAGAACGACGACUCCAAUCGAGGUGAAUACUCAAGUGGAUAGGUCGGACGAACAAUCAAGGACAACACAAGAUUGCUCAAGAACCCUUGCCAUUGCAAGUAAUGGAAUUGUACUCUCAAUGUAAGAGAAACAAACAAUGUUUAUUAUCAUAAAACGGCUCCCUUACGUGUAUCCACUCGCACUCGUGUAUAUGGAUGUCACUCUAAUGGACUUACCAAAUACCUUUACCUUUGGGUUAGGUAGUUGAGAAAGGCCGCUCAAGUCUAAUAAUUGUCACCAAUUUUUUCCACAAGAGUAACCAAGAAGGUAAGACACAAAUGUGGGUGCAAAAUAAAGUGGAAAUGGACGACUUUGGAAGGCCAAUAAUGGCGGACAGAAAUGGAAGUGCGCCAAUGGGAACACAAAAGAAAGAAACCCUAACUUCCUAAAAUGUAGGAGAGUGUUCCUAGAAUGUAGGAGAGAAUGUAGGACAGUGUUCCUAAAAUGUAGGAGAGUAUCCAAGAAUGUAGGAGAGUAUCCAAGUGAGAACAAAGGAGUUAUCCAAGUGUUUUACUUAGUUUCCUAAAUGAAUUUGGAAAAUUAAGUAAACAACUUGGAUGAAGCAAGCAAUACUUGGACAGAUUUGAAACAAAGAAACCCUAGCGCAAAAGAAACCCUAGCCGCAAGUAGAAACCCUAGCCGUCGCCCCACUUGUUUUCUUUGUUACUCAAGUGAUGACUAAUGACCAAGACAAAUUUGGAAACACAACCUUACGGCAAAUUUUGGACAGAAAUUAUAGACAAACUAGACACAAACACAAAAGGGAUAACACACCAAUAGAUUUUGUGUUCGGAUGAAUAGUAACGUGAACAUGUGCGGUGAACAGUAACGAUGAACAGUAUCAUUUUUUUCUCUUUUUCUUUUGUAACAAGGCAGCGGAAUCAACAAAACUAAGACAAAGCUACGGAUAUAACGGAAGAUACCUCAACCAAAGCUCUGAAGCCAACUGAUACGGUCCUCGAUCAACACGUUUCGAGACACGUAGCAUGUUUGCCCAAGGAUCUAGCGGGGUUGUCCAACGCUUGGAUUGCGGGAUCUAAAAUCAACACGGAUGACACGAGUCGAUUUAAGAUGGUAGAACGACGACUCCAAUCGGGGUGAAUACUCAAGUGGAUAGGUUGGACGAACAAUCAAUGACAACACGAGAUUGCUCAAGAACCCUUGCCAAAAGCAAGUAAAGGAACGAAAUUCUCACAAGAAGAAAAUCGAAAGAAGACAAAUUUAUUAAUCAAUCGAGUCUACCCUUAAUGCUUACAAAGCAAGCCUUUAUAUAGGCAAACUAACGAAACCCUAAUGCUAGUAAAAAGGAAAUAAAGGUUCGGCCAGGUCUUGGUCAAGGUGGGCCGAACCAUGACUCAACAAGCCCUACAACUAGUAACUAAUCCAAAUAAUAACUUGACGGCUCAAGACUAAAAAAGGCCCAACAGUUGGCCGACUCCCUUUAAUUGGAAAAACUACAAAGACUAACUAGCGGGCUAGAGCCCAAACUAAUAACCAUCACUUGGCUCCUCGUGGGCUUGGAUCAAUGUGUAGGUAACUUGAUUAAUAUCCUUCAAGCCUUCAAGGUCUCUAUGAAAGCCUUGAGUCAAGGCCGCCAUCCAUCUCGCCAUCCGUGCACACAUUAGUCCCCUCCUCUUGACAAGGAUUUGUCCUCAAAUCUGGAUGGAGAUGGAUGAUACUAACAAGAGUUAGUAGUGUGACACCUCAAAUCGACAGUGCGCUUGGAGGUCAGCCACGUUGGGAACAAAUGAAAGGUCACGAGCCAAGUUAAAUGCCGUUUUGUCAGCUUCAUGAGGCUCUCAAACAAGGACAUGCGCCAAGAUAGGAAAGAGCUUGUGUAAGACUCGUGAAAAUUCCAGGUAGCAAUCCAAAGAUCUCUAAUCAGCCUUCGGCCAUGGAUUGUCAUAUUGUCACCUGGUUGUCACUGAUGUGGCACACCUUGCCUAUCUGGAGGUGGAACAUUGAACCAAUCGGGUUGCACUUCCCUAGAAGCACAAACCAGCGAGAUAAGACCAAUAUGCGGAUCUUGAUUGACACAUUUAUGGGCAUCACCCGACAUAAGUGGCAGCAAUGAGGUGAAACGCACUCCAUACGAAUCGCAUGAAUUUGUGCAAGUUGGGGUUGGUAAAGUAAGCUCGUGAUGACCAACUUUUGGACAUGUGAAGAAGCACGAAUGUGCACCACUUUUAGCAGGAAUAAGCACGAAAUCGGAUUGCAAGUCUUUAAUCAUAGUUGGGAAAUUUUGGACAGCGUUACAACCUACAAGCAACACGUUUCGAGACACGUAGCACGUUUGCCCAAGGAUCUAGCGAGGUCGUCCAACGCUUGGAUUGCGGGACCUAAAAUCAACACGGACGACACGAGUUGGUUUAAGGUGGUAGAACGAUGACUCCAAUCGAGGUGAAUGCUCAAGUGGAUAGGUCGGAUGAACAAUCAAGGACAACACGAGAUUGCUCAAGAACCCUUGCCAUUACAAGUAAUGGAAUUGUACUCUCAAUGUAAGAGAAACAAAACAAUGUUUAUUAUCAUAAAAUGGCUCCCUUACGUUUAUCCACUCGCACUCGUCUAUAUGGAUGUCACUCUAAUGGACUUACCAAAUACCUUUACCUGUUGGGUUAGGUAGUUGAGAAAGGCUGCUCAAGUCCAAUAAUUGUCACCAAUUUUUUCCACAAGAGUAACCAAGAAGGUAAGACACAAAUGUGGGUGCAAAAUGAAGUGGAAAUGGACGACUUUGGAAGGCCAAUAAUGGCGGACAGAAAUGGAAGUGCGCCACUGGGAACACAAAAGAAAGAAACCCUAACUUCCUAAAAUGUAGGAGUGGGUUCCUAGAAUGUAGGAGAGUAUUCCUAAAAUGUAGGAGAGUGUUCCUAAAAUGUAGGAGAGUGUUCCUACAUUUUAGGAGAGAAUGUAGGAGAGUGUUCCUAAAAUGUAGGAGAGAAUGUAGGAGAGUGUUCCUAAAAUGUAGAAGAGUAUCCAAGGGAGAACAAAGGAGUUAUCCAAGUGUUUUACUUAAUUUCCUAAAUGAAUUUGAAAAAUUAAGUAAACAACUUGGAUGAAGGAAGCAAUACUUGGACAGAUUUGAAACAAAGAAACCCUAGCGCAAAAGAAACCCUAGCCGCAAGUAGAAACCCUAGCCGUCGCCUCACUUGUUUUCUUGUUGCUCAAGUGAUGACUAACGACCAAGACAGAUUUGGGAACACAACCUUACGGCAAAUUUUGGACAGAAAUUAUCGACAAACCAGACACAAACACAAAAGGGAUAAACACCAACAGAUUUUGGGUUCGGGAUGAACAGUAACGUGAACAGUAACGAUGAACAGUAUCGGUGAACAGAAUUUUUUUUUUAUUAACAAGGCAGCGAACAAAACACAAAAACCCUACGACACAACUACAAAAAACAAGGAUAUAAUGAAAGAUACCUCCACCUAAGCUCUAAAGCCAACUGAUACGGUCCUCGAUCAACACGUUUCGAGACACGUAGCACGUUUACCCAAGGAUCUAGCGAGAUUGUCCAACGCUUGGAUUGCGGGACCUAAAAUCAACACGGACGACACGAGUUGGUUUAAGGUCGUAGAACAACCACUCCAAUCGAGGUGAAUACUCAAGUGGAUAGGUCGGUACACGAGAUUGCUCAAGAACCCUUGCCAUUGCACGUAAUGAAAUUGUACUCUCAAUGUAAGAGAAACAAAAUAAUGUUUAUUAUCAUAAAACGGCUCCUCUUGUUCGUAUCAUCAUGUUUUGCUUCCUAGUGGGUGGUUUGAUGGGUGAAUGGUCAUGCGUAACACUAGGUGUGCUCACUUGACCCUUGGUCGUUUGCUCACUUGUAGAAGUGGAGUUUUGCCAGGGUCGGCCGUCUUUUGCUUUCGCUUUUGACGGUCUAAGUCGCACUCCCUUUGCAAUUUUAAUUGGUCCUCAUAAACUUGUGCAGGUGUGAGUGGUGUGAGGACCUUACGUUUGCCAUCGUGCAAAAGUGUGUACUUAUUUGCCCUUCCAUUGAAUGUGACGUGUUUGUCGAAUUGCCAAGGCCUCCCCAAGAUGACAUGUGUAGCAUGCAUAGGUACUACAUCACACUACUUCAUCAAUGUAAGUACCGAUUGAAAAAGGAACGCGUACCUGUUUGAAGACACGUACCUCGCCAUCCUCACUUAGCCAUUGGAGGCGGUAGGGGUGGGGAUGUCUAGUAGUUGGGAGACCCAAGUUCUCAACCAUUAGCAAACUCGCCACAUUGGCGCAGCUUCCCCCAUCAAUCAUGAGACUACACACUUUCUCACCUAUUUUACAGCGGGUGUAAAAUAAGUUCUCACGUUGCAACUGCUCAUCUUCCUUGACUCGGGCGGUUAGCACUCGCCGUGCCACCAAGCAACCUACUUCUCCUUAUGUAGGAGAGCAAUCUUCCUCAGCCGAGUCAUCCUCCAGGCAGUCACCUUUGAUCAAUCCAGGCACCUCCUCACAAUCGUCAUCAUCGGAGAUUACGAGCCUCAUUUAUGUAUUUCAUUUACUGGGUUGUAGCGAGGUUUUACCCAGUAAAUGAAAUACAUAAAUGAGGCUCCACUACAAGUCGAGUGCCUCUCCAAGUUAAUUACCAGUACAAAGGAAUAAAAAUGUGACUUUUGAACAACAAGGAUAAUAGUUGGUCCUAGGGAUACGAACAACCCCAAAACCUUUCAUUUUUACCAAAAUACAACUCAAACUUAAAGAAAUCAAAUGGCCUAGAAAAUUGGACAGCAUUUUCCUUUAAAUUCCUUACUUUUCCAUCCUAAACUUAACCUCCAACAUUCAUUCAAAACAACCGCAAUCACACACACAAAUCAUAGGCUAUUAAACACACUUCCUUAGGGUCACAACACCCUUCACAUAUAACCAUUAGAUAGCUCUAUAAUCAAUCACAACAAAGCCCCAAAUUAGAAACUCUAAUUUGAAUUUAACCCCACAAGCGGAAAUUUUCCGUAAGCAAUCACAACUAGUACAUAUAAGCUUCAUCUUACACCUAACCAAGCUAUCAUUCCAUGGCCAAACGUUACUCAUCAUAUAAGAACAGAAAAAUCACCAAUAAAUCUGAAAUUUAUCAAAACUCUACUUUAAACCAUGAAAUCUUCCACAAAACAACAUACUUAACCACUAAUUUAUCAUUAUUAAAACAAAGAGGGAAUUUUCUAAGCAAAGUACCUUGAAACCUGAAGAAAGGUGGUAGUUUAGCACUUCCUCCUCCAAAAUUACUCCACCAACACCCUUAGUCUUCCUUAGUUAACAACCUUUAUGGAGUAUUUUGCAACUUACUUGGUUAGAACUCAGGAUUGAAGCAAGCUUGAAGUUGGCAAAUGAAGUUUUCUCUCUUGGUUUUUCUUCUCAAGAGGGCCGGCCAAGAAGAGGAAAAAUGGAGCAAAUUUUGGUUAAAAUUAGUUUUAGGAAAGGUAAGAAAGCUUUGGUCAAAGUCCACCUUUGAAUGGUAACACGACACGUGACACCUCUAAUGUUUAUCUCAUCCUCUUAUCUCCCAAUACUAAUUAAUCGAACUAACCUCUAAUUACCUUCUAGCAUCUUGUAAAAUAAUAUCCCUUAAUACAAACUUCAAUUAGUUGUCAAAAAUAUAUCGCAUUUCCCGGACUAGCGGGUCCCACGUCCAUAAUACGCUUCAAACUUAAUAUGAACUAACCUAAAUUAGGAAAAAAUGAUUUAAAACUCUACUCACUUAUAAAAUCUCUGGAAAAUCAAUAUAAUAGGGUAUAGUGAAGAAAAUGCAUGCGAGAAAAUAAAAUAAAAUAAUAUAAAAUAAAGAAAAUUUACGGGUCCUCACACUCUCUCCCCCUUAAAGAAAUUUCAUCCUCGAAAUUUUCUUAUCACUAGGAUCUAUCAGACAAGUCAAGGAUUGUACCUUCUUCGACCUCAGACGAGUCAAGGUCCUGAUGUUGCUCUAGGGAAUAUACCUGAUCUGGCACCUUCGGUCCAGUCCCUUCCCCUUGGACUGUCCAGGAUUGGUCUUGGUUGAUUGUUCGGUCCCUCUCCCUUCUCGCAAUAGAACUGGACAGUUAGCAAUCCGAUGAUCAGCGGUCCCACAACGUAGGCAUUUUUUCCCUUUCUUCCAACAAUUCUCCUCCGUGUGAUUUGGCCCUCUGCAAUAUCCACAGGGAUCACGGGAAACAGAGACCGAUCCUCCCUGUGAGACACCACUUGACACCCCGGUAGUCGUACUCCCCCGUUUCCGUUUUCAAUCUUAGGGGGUGUACUCUUAUCCUCUUGUUCCAAGCUACUCCCAGGAAAUCCCUUUUCUUGGCUUGGAAGUUUCUCAUCUGUAACCUCGCAUUUUCAACUCGCUGGGCUUUCUCCACAGCAUCACUAAAGGCACUAAAUUGGGCUACAGCCAGGUCUUUCUGAAUCUCAACAUUUAAUCCCUGGACAAAACGCCUUAUCCGUCUUUGUUCGGUUACAAUCAGUUCGGGCGUAAACUUAGAUAACCGGGCAAAUUGACUUUCAUACUCGGCUACGGUAUGAGUUCCUUGGCGAAACCGAAUGAAUUCAUCUUCCUUCUUUUCUUGGAUUAGAGGAGGGAAAAACUUGACGUUAAAUUCUCUCAUGAUGUUCACCCACGUCCUCGGUGUUUGUUCUCUCUCCCAUUUCAGUCUUAUGAUAUUCCACCAAGAACGGGCUGCUCCCUCCAGUUGGAAGACAGCAAAUGUCACCUGUCUCUCCUCAGUGUAGUGUAACGUGGCAAAAAUAUCGAUAAUCUUCUCCAACCACCUCUCAGCCACGUCAGGAUCUGGUCCUCCAAAGAAUUUUGGUGGGGGAGAACUUCUGAAAUCUUUCAAGGGCUCUAUCCUCGCCCUCUACAUUGUUACCAGGGUUUCUAGGUUGAGAAUUAAGAUUUUGGCCCUGGUGUUCCACUACAUGGGCUAGCAGAUCGGUCAUGCGCUGGAUAGCAGCGGCUACCUGAGCAUUUGGGUCGACCCUAGGUUCAGGAUUUGGUUCAGGUAUUAGUUUCCGGUUACUCCCUUCAUUCGAGGGUUGCCUAACACCACGUCCACGGCCUCGUCCACUACGGGUACCCUCUAUUGGAUUAACCAAUCUAGGGUCGAAGCGAAAAUAAUAUUAAAGAUAAAUAUAUGCAUGAACAGGUAACAAGAGGUACACACAGAUCAAAAGGCAUAUAUAUAUCUAACACAACUUUAUCAAACAAAUCACACGGUAACAGUCAGUCAGAUACAAGCAAAAGAAAAUUCUAUGAAAGUAUCGGCGGUCAUCAAAGGUACUAUAUACCAAUUAGGCCAAAGGUAUAAAAGCAAAGAACAAAAAGCUUUUUCCCUCUAGGGCUCCGUCCACAAUCUACGAGAAUAACACAAUUUAUAUCUUAGGCAGGGUUAAUCAUCCUUAGUGAUACCCUAACACAUCGCAUGAAGUUUCGUAGAAUCAAAUUUCUAGUUCGCCCAAGUCAUUUCUAACUAGGUUCUCAUCUCAUUCGUAUCCGGGUACAAGAAUCCCAAAUAAGAUAAUUCACAACUCGAGUCGGCCGGUCCCAAGAGUAAAUCACCCAUAUUAAAGAUUCUUACCUGACAUACAUAUCUAUUGUCCCUCAGUAUCAUAAUAAAGGUUUGAAACCUGUAACAUGUCAUGAUUCAUAACUUAUGCUCAAAAGAGCACUUAAUCCGUUAAACACAUUCACAAAUCAGGACCAUAAUACCACUUGACCCAAGCUCACUCCGCGCAGAGACCACGCGAAACAGCUCUGAUACCAACUGUGACAGCCCCACUGUGAGAACCCUAAAAUUUUCACAUUUUCUUAGUCUUUUGUUUAUUCUCACUUCCCCUUGUGAAGUGAAAAUGUGUUAACCAUUUGUUUUCAACAAAGGAAGGUUUUGAUAUUACGUGUACUUGGUGUGAACGAUAUGUAUAUACGUGUAUGUGUUGGAAGUACGGUUGAGUGCGGCAAUUGAAUUAGGAUUAUUUUAUUUCUUUGCCUACAUUUUAUACUUUCCUUGGAAAUAUUAAAAUUUCUAUGCAUUUUUACAAGCAAGUACAGUUUUAAAUUCAUUUUUCUAGUAUGAGUUAAUGAACGUUAAAUUUGAAACGCAUUAUCGAUGUGGGGCCCGCUAGUGCGAUAAAUGUGGUGAUUAAGAGUGAGUUUUAGAUGAUAUUAAGUGUGUGAUUAGAAGUGAUAAUAAUAAGUUAGUGAAUUAGAAGAUAAAACCCUAGUAUACGCGAUUUAAGGAAAAACGGCUAGAACCGACGGGUAACGUUCACUAUCGAUUGAACACACCACUUGACUACCACUUCCCUACCACCACAUACCCUUGAUAUUGUUGCAAAAUAUCUCCCUCAUCCUCAGCCCUUAUAGCCGAAAUAUUUGACCCAAAAUGCAAGGAAAAGAAAAUAAAAUUUUAGUUGAUUUUGGUGGUGACAAGUGUUGGCCACUUAUGGUUCCUUGACCAAGCCAAUGUCUUACCUUCUUAUCUUUCAUUUGAGUUCAUUCUUCACCAUUUUUUUUUUCUGUUUUGGCCGAGAGCAAGGAGAGGCAAGAGUGAAGAGAGUUUUCAAUUUUCAACCUUGAAUCCAACCUUUUGAGUGCAAACAAGAAAAACUAAACCGAUUAAUCAUUAGUUUGGAAGCUUGGGAAGCUUAAAGAACCAAAAAUUUCAAGGAGUAGUGGAGGAUCACUCUUGCAAGGUCUUGUCUUGAGGUAUAAUGGCUGAUCACUCUUUCUUUCUCCAUUAAUCAUGAUUAAGUUGGGUAUUAAUGUUAGAGUUGUGCUUGUGAUGCUUGUUUCAAAUGGUUUUGAUGAUUGGAGGGAGAAUAUUGAGUUAGGGUUUUGAUUUAUUCACUCAUAUUUCUUGUGGGUUAGGUGUUAUAUGGUGUAUAUAUAUGGUAUAUAAUCUUGUAAAGGAGAAAGUAGUGGUAAUUUUAAGGUAAAAAUGUGAAUUAUAGCUUGACUAUAACAAAAGUCCAGAUUUCUGGAAAUUCAAGCUUCAGUUCUGCCCGGUUCCAGUUUGUGAUGUUAGAGGCCGAAUUAGGCUUAGUAUAAAACAUGAAAGUUGUAGAGAAUUAUGUUUUACAGUUGCCUCCAAAAUUUCAGCUCAAUCGGAGCAACGUAGCCUAUGAAAAGACAAAAAUACCCCUCACUCUCAUAGGUUUAGUCCAGUGGACAAUUUUGAUAUUUCACAACACUAACCGUGUCUGUCCACCCUGAUGUGUACUGAAUUAGCCUUUGGCCGAAACACAAAAGUUGUAGUGCUAUAUCUUAGCUUUCCAAUGCCCCUAGAAUCACCUUGUUUGGACUUCGGUAGCUUGAGUUAUUGUCGUUUAUGCAUAAGGUGGUUAACAAGCCAAAUGUGAGAUUCUGGUUCUGUUAUUUGAGAUUUUGACUUAGAUACACUACAAAUUGGACUGAGUGGUCUUCAUUAAAGUUGUAGGUCUUUGUCUUAGCUUCGAAACGGUAUAAAUUUUACCCCAAUCUGAUAAGCGUAGCUUGGUUGUGUCCGUUACGUAAAACAACGUCAAAUCUGUCUUUUGUUUCUUGACUCAACCUUCAUUUCCGCACAUGCUCCUAGCUUGAUUUUGUACUUGUAUGACUUGGAGCCUAUGGAAUGGCUAUUGAAAUGAGAUGAUUUUGUAUAUGAAUUUGGAUUUGAUUGAGGAAAAGAAUGAAACCAUAAAUGGCUGGAAAAUAGGUAAAUACAAAGGGCGUGCUGCCCAAAUUUACGCUCGAGAACUAGGUCGAUAUACUUGCGACUUGAGUAAGGCUUGAGAGCGAAUACCACGUGAACCAUCUAGGGUAUUUACGUUUUCUUUGCCACUUCGACUCAAAUAGCGAUUUUAAAGUUUUACAAGUGAGUCUAAGUUUUACAAAUAUUUUACUUAUGUCCUUUGAUUUCAAUGUACUCUUUUCACUACCAAAAUCAUAUUUAUACUUUGUACUAGUACGUAUUCGACUUUUCUUUAACUCACUUACAUCUUUGAUGGUUGAAACAUAAUGUGUUCGUUUGAUUAUAUUAGGAUACCUUGGUGAUUGAGAGUGUUAUCCGGAAGGAUAUUUUGGACGUUAUUUUGCGUAAAUAGGUGAGUGUUCCUUGUUUGUUAUAUUUUUCUUGACUUCAUGGCUUGUGUUAUUGUUUAACAAUGUGUUAAGUGCUUUCAAGGAUUUUCAAAACGAGUUUUCUAGGCGAGUGUGUACUUUAUCGCGUUCGACCUAAAUGAAAUGUGAAAUUUUUAAUGAUUUAAUGAUUGAAACGUUACAUGUGCAUGGAUGUAAGCCUUUGGCUGAACUGGGCCCUGCCCUUCGUUACCGAUCGACUCGAGCCAGAAGCGGGCUUGGUCGGGCGAUAUGGUGACCUUGGGUGAAUAUUUGGUAUAUUCGAGUACUACCUUGUUGUCGGGUGGAGUCUAGCCAACGUCCAGGAGAGGGUGAAUGAAAUGAAUGAACGAACGAGGGUUUUACUUAUCGAAAUGCAUUUUCAAAUGAUUGGAUGAAUAAGGGAAUGAAAGGAGAAUGAACGAAUGAAUGAAUGAAUGGCUCCUUGUGAGCACGUAUCCUUUUAAUGAAUGUGUUAGUAUUGCUUUCCAUUGUAAAUGUUUCUUGACUUAUUGAUUAUUGAUGGUUAAUGUAUUGAACUUAUUGUUUGAUUAUGUGUUCGGAACCUCACUGAGCUUUUAGCUCAUCCAUUUAGUUUUGUUUUCCUUAACAGGGGAAGGCGAGCAAGGACGAGAGCUCGGUAGAGACUAGCCUAGACUAGUUUCUUUGAUUUUGUAAUGGUUCUCGCCCUAGUGCUUGGCACGGGCUGAAUGUAUGGUGAAUUGAGAACCUUUGUAUAUUCGAUGGUUGUACUCCCUUUUGAGAUAGCAAUGUAUAUAAGUUGUGCUUUAAGUUUUGGAUCAUUGUUAUGUUUAUUCUUGUUUAUUUUGGUUUCGAUUGGAGGAUUGAAGUGAACGACUGAGUCCGGCGAGAGCUGGGCAGGCGGUCCGCUGACACCUUUGGUUCGCUUUAGGGGGAGAUGGGGCUGUCUAAGGCGAACCAAAGGGUUCGGCGGACCGCUUACCCAGCUCUCGCCAGGAAUAUGGAGUCGAAUCACAUAAAACCUAUAUACGCGCGAUAGAACCAAAGAAAACGAACAAUUGGAGACCACCAAGACAAAAUAUAACUUACCAAACCAUAUGGUGAUAUGGAACUUUGAUGAAACACCUCAAUGCAAAAGGAAAAUGAAAACGAAAACGAAACGAAAAUGGCCACGUCACAAUCCGGCUUGUCGUCUGCAAUACGUGCAGAACUUAGGUAUUCAAAAGAAAGGAUUUAUUGCUGGCGAUCCAUAGACUAAAAGGCUUGCAAACAGUGCAAAGGGCAAUCUCGCAAGCUUCAGCUUCCUGUAUAGUUCUUCGCUCGGUAUGCUUUUUCCUAUUCUUUUGCAAGUCUUUCUAUAUGGUUCCACUCAGGGCAUUCCAUUGAUACGCUCGGGUUCGUUCAGACGAGGUGGAUAUAUAAGGACUUGACUCAUUGCCAUCGGUGAAGCCGGAUUGUGACGUGGUCAUUUUCGUUUCGUUUUCGUUUUCCUUUUGCGUUGAGUGUUUCAUCGAAGUUCCGUAUCACCGUAUGUUUGGUAAAUUUUAUUUGUCUUGGUGUCUCCAAUUGUUCGUUUUCUUUGGGUUCUAUCGCGCGUAAUAUAGGGUUUGUGUGAUUCGACUCCGUAGUCCUGACGAGAGUUGGGCAGGCGGUCCGCCGAACCUUUGGUUCGCCUUAGGGGAAGGUAGGCUGUCACACAUCCACAAAUAUCUUAAUUUGGUUCUUUUAGAUGCUGUGAUAGACAACAUCUAGAGGAAACCAAUGAAAUGAAAUUGAAGAAAUUUGGGACAUUUUUUGUCCCUUUUCAGCUACAAAUGUAGGAUUUAGAAGUUUAAAGGCUUUAUGAAUGAUGAAAUGAUAACAAAAUAUUUCUCAACUUGAAGGGAAACGUAUCUUUAUAAAUAAUAGAUGGGGGGCAUUUUAUGUUAGAAAUUUUAACGAUUUAAAUGGGCGUAUUUUGUCUAGUUCAAUGUUUCAAUUGAUCAUUUGCAGAGUGAACUAACAGAGGGGAUAAAGUGUUAAAAAAUAACGUUAGGGGUAAAGUACAAACACCAUAACCUUAGGGGGACUUUUUAUGAUUUUGCCUUGAUUGUUUCCCUCCAUCAACGCCGUCCAAUUACGUUGUUUAUAAUUACGCGUUAAUACGGCCUUUGACCGACAGCUGAACCACGUCCCACGUCCCACAUCCUCCCGUCCUUUCUCCUUAAGAAAAGCCAAAAAAGGAAAAACGAAAUCCAAAAUUUCGAUAAAAAAAAAAAAAAAACCUUAAGGCCAAUCUACCUAAGGGUUUUAAAGAUUACAUAUUUCUGUUCUGCUUUUAUGAAUGAAAUUGUGGGAAUUCAGAUGAGAUUUAAAUUCCGAGUAAUGUAAAUUACCUUGAUUAUUGUUAUAAGAAGCAUAAUCGGAUUGGUGAGAAGAAAUUAGUUGAUAAAGAUUGGGUAAUUAGAGAAGAAUUGUGCAGUGGUGAUGUACACGGCUAAUUGAUUGGGUUUGGCUUAGCCGUAGCUUCAAGUGCGUUUAUUGGAUCCAGCUUCAUCAUCAAGAAGAAAGGUCUACAGAGGCCGGCGCGUCAGGCUCACGUGCCGGUAUGCGCUCUGUUUUACCUAGUCAUUCCUUUUAAAUUUUUUUUUUCUGGUUUUCCACAUUGUCAGUAGUAUGGGUUAUUGCUAUUCUCUGUGUUUUUUGAUUUAUUCCUUUUAUUGUUGAGGAAGUAAAUUGCUUCUUGUCAAAUGGGCUUUACUAGUAGUUUUUUUUUUUAAUUUAAUUUUUUUUCUUGCAUUUAUUUCCUUUCCAGAAUAAGUCAACUUGCAACACGGGAUCUAGGAAUGUUGAUUUACUUGAAUGUUAAGAAAUUUAUGAUGUGAACUGUCGAUGUCUAGAUUUAAGGUGUAUUAUGCCUAACAUUCUACUUUGUCUUGAGAAUAUACUUUUCCUUGCAUUUCUUUUGUUAUGCUUCAAUGAGUGUUGAGCACAGGUGUUAGAGCUAUGAGGCUGGAUAAAUGAGCCAUAGUAGCAUGUGUGUGGACAAAUUUGUUGCAUAAGAGAAAAACUUGAGGAAAUGAAAUGUCUGUUUUGUUACUCUUGUAAAAAAUGAUCAGGGGAAAUUUCUAAAAUGGACGCACUUCAAAGCAAAAUAUGUAAGGUUGACUUUUGCUUAUUUAGUUGUAGAGUUAUCAACUAUGAAACUGUACUACUUCACGCAUCAUUUUUUGUGCAAGUUUGCUUAAAUGAUGUUUGAGGAAAAAUAAAGGAAAAUUGCACUCCAUUGUGAAUUUGGUUUUGAAAGUGCGCCUUUUUCAUAGUUUUACUGGAAGAGUUGUGAACCGUAAAUGGACAUGUUACUCAGUUACCAGUGAGAACCUUUGAAUGUUAUUCUGGUGUUAGUCAAUUAAUCAAGUAAAACAAUUUCUUGCUAAUGGUUUUGAUGGAGAUUGUUAACCUUCACUCUAUUUGACAAGUGUAAGGAUUGCUACUUGAGAUGAUGAGCCACGCAGCUCUGUGGAGGCCCCUUUCUUAUUGGGAUAACAAUAUUUCUCUAGCUGGAACAGUAUAAUCAAAAUACUUGCUCAAAAUCUGAUGUACCAAGCUCCUUAGUGAAAAGGAUGAGUCUGAUACGACAUAUUUGACAAGGGCUGGCUUCUGCUGGGUGCAAUGUCAUUUGCUUUGCGGGGGUCUAUCAAGAAGAUAAUAGGGUCCAACAUCUUGAUACAGCAUCUUAUAUGUUGUUUAGGUUUUAUGGACAUUGAAGAAAUUAACCACAUAUCUAGCUACUUAGGAUGUUUGCCUUCAAUAUUGUUCAUUACAAUAAGAUAGGCAAGAUUUUGGAACAACCAUGAUAUCACACACUCAAAAGGAAAAACCAAAUCGAAAGUAGUAUGAAAAUUUUAUCGAAGUUUGAUAGUUUUCACUCAAUGUUAUCAUUAUCUCUCUCUCUCUCUCUCUCUCUGUCGACUUAUAAUACUGAUUUCUUUUGCAUGUCUAGGAUCUGGAGGCCAUGGCUAUCUAAGGGAGCCACUUUGGUGGAUCGGCAUGAUUGCUAGUAAUUCUUUUUGUGGUUCAGACUUACUAAUCUUGUUUAUCUCUGCAUUUAAUGUUAUUGAAAGGACACAUUGACUGAAUAUUUUUUGUAAUAUCUGGCAGUGAUUUUUGGUGAAUUUGCCAAUUUUGUGGCUUAUAUUUAUGCUCCUGCGGUGCUUGUGACUCCACUGGGAGCACUGAGUAUAAUUGUAAGGUAAAGUAUCACUUUCAAGUGAUAACUAAAAAACUCUUACCAGUGACUUCAAGUGAUGUUAAUAUUUCUUCUGCCCACGCAGUGCUGUUUUAGCACAUUUCUUGUUGAAGGAAAAAUUGCGAAAAAUGGGAAUAUUGGGGUGCAUCUUAUGUGUAGUGGGCUCCACUGUCAUUGUGCUUCAUGCACCAGGAGAGCAUGAUAUUAGUUCGGUUGAUGAGAUUUGGGAACUUGCAACCAACCUGGUAAAGAAAUUAGUAUAACUACUACCACUUAAUAUGAUUUCUUCCCUUAUCUAGACUGGUUAAAGAUUUUUCCUUGAUAAUCUUGUUUUAUUUCUCCAGCUUUUGUUCUCUACGCAGCUUCAGCAAUUGCAGUGGUAUAGCAUUAGUUUUGUAUUGUGAACCACGAUAUGGGCAGACCAACAUAAUGGUAUACAUUGGCGUAUGCUCCAUCUUUGGUUCCUUGACAGUAAGUGUCUCCAUUCUUUUUUCUUUUGGUGCCUCUGGGAUAAUAGGACAUAUAAAUGUAGAAGAAGUGAUCAUUCUCUUUCUUCUUCAACUUAUCUUUCGCUUUGAUGGAGCUCCCCUGGAACAAGAGUUAAAAAUACUAGUGACGAUUAUUCAGCAUCCUUUUAGAUGGUUAAACUGGACUAAACAUAUUAUCAUUGUUCAAAGAUUCUCAUAAAUACAGGAGUUAUGUGCGAGUAUGUAAUGCAGAGUAUGUUGUCUAGAAACAUUUGAGCUCGCAGAAGAAUUGUGAGGCUUAUUUGACUUAUGUAUCAAGUUAAAACGCAGAAAGCAUCUGUUGACCUGAUUUCUUUGAUCAGAUUGUAAAAUGUGAAUGUAUUAUGGAAAGGACAACUUCAACUUUUUGCUUUUAGAAUAUAGUUACUGAUAGCAUACAUUUCUUCCAAAAAGUCUUCAUUGUCACCUAGUAUAUUGCCAGCUUUCUGGCCUACUCUUUCUCUCUCUCUCCCCCUCCAAUGUGUGUGUAAAUAUAUAUGUAUCUGCCAGAUUUUCUCAGCAUAUUAAUAAGGACAUAGUUCUUUUUUAUAAUUCUAACACCAAUAAAUUUGACAUAUGUUGCAUUUCAUUGGCUUUUAAUCUAUUAUAAGUGAUCAAUGAUUUGAUGCUUCAUAGUGCUGUGCCUUCGCCUAUCAAUUCCUGCACAGGAAGAGGAAAGUAAAUGGUGGUCUGCAAAACUAAACCUUUUGGCCUAUUAUGUAUGUUUUACAAAAAAGUUAGCAGCAUCCAAGAGAUGUAGCCAACCUUCAAGUGUAAUGACCUUCUUGGUGGGUGGAGAUGCAUACAUUUCUUUUUCUGGGAAACAGUUGGCAUACACAUUAAUUUCUUGAGAAGUUGUAUGGGGAAUCAUUCUUCCUUUGAGCAGUGCUCAAGUCAUGCCGAUUAGAAGUCUAAAGAAGAUCUAGGUUCAAAUUGUGCGUGAUUAGUUUUUUUAAUCAAAUAAAAUUAUUGAUUAAGUAACCUUUUUCAAGCCAUCACUGUUUUUUGAAGCUAGUUGUUCGAACAUGCAAAUUGAUUUUGAACUCAAGCUGGAUGGUAAAUAUUCAAAUGCUCAAGUUAUGGAAACAAAUUUGUGGAUUUCAAAUUUUUUACUAGAUCCUAGUAGUAAGUUAUGGUCAUAGUACUUAACUACUUUUUCAUAUCUAAAUUGUACAUUUUUUGUUUCCCACCAUGAAUCAAUCAGACUAGUCUUUUCUAGUAGUGGUACAUUCAUAAUUGCUAUUCUCAUAACCACCUUGAAAGUAGCGUACAAGGAAACAAAUUCCAAAUCAAGCAAGGCCUGAAUUGAAUUUCGAGUUGAAAUCUGCUAAUUUAAAUAUUGCUGUUUAACAAUGUAUAUGUGAAUGAGUUCCCAGUUUCCUUUCCUCACAGCUAUGAGAAGCUUUCAUGCACCUAAGUCAUUUUUCAGCAUACAGCUGUGACAAGUUUUCUCAAUUUGUACUUUAUGUUCUUUGCUACACUCUCUGGUUAAUAUCUAGUUCUUUCCCUUUUAACUCUUUUUGCCCUCUGAUUUAGUUAGUGGUUUUUUUUUGUUUAAUUUAAAAUUUUUUAUUUUAACUGGUUGAUAUCUUUGGUGACAAACUAUCAAAAUGAUUGAUUGUUUCUGAAUCUCAGAUUCCCUUUCUUUUGCCUGCAGCAUUUGAAGCUGAUUAUCUUGUACCUAUUGCAACUUAAGGUCCUUAAUUUAAAUGGUUGUGAUAAAAACUAUAUGAAUAUACUUCCUUCCAACUUUGAAUUUUAGCAUUUCUAAAUUUUUGAAAAUGUCCAGUUUGCUUGAGUGGAAGUGUACCAACCACAUGCACUAGCAUUCUGACUUCUAACAUUUACAUAGAUAAAAGAUGGUUGAAAUCUGUUUAAAGUGGAUGGGUGAAGAUUCUAUUUCCUUGUAAUUCCAGAUUGAGAAGAUUAUAAAGGAUAGUAGAACAUUUCUUAUGUUUUUUUAGAUGGGUUUGGGUCCAUCAUCACAGUUAGUAAGGUUGUGCGUUAGUAGGUGAAAGACAUGUAGUAUUUGUGGAAUGACUUUGGUUAAGAGUUGAUUAGUUGAUAAGACUUCUUGAAGUUUAAUAGAUGAUUCUUGUGUUGAAAGCAUGGUUUGAUGCCAUAGACUUAUGUACUACUGAUUUUAUUUUGCUCUAAAACCUAUCUUAAAACAUGAACCCUUCUUAUUCUUUUGAUAUUAAAUGUCUAUAACAUGUAUGCAAUAUUUCAGUAAGAAUCCUUGACAUGUAAAUCAAGUGAGAUAAAUUGACUUGGUAUACCUGCAAAACUACUCACUCUACUCAAGUUGCUUUCUCUGUUUGCUAAGCCCUGACUUGAAACAUAACUAGUUUUAGUGGUCAUAUUUGAUGGACAUGAUUAUACUCUGGAACAAAAUAGCUAAAAGAAAUUAUGUUGACAUGGAGUUGCACUUUUAUUUACGGGUUCAUUCCUGGCAUAUUUUAUGAUCUGCAGGUUAUGAGCAUAAAAGCAAUAGGUAUUGCUAUAAAACUCACUCUUGAGGGUUUUAGCCAGGCAGCACACUACCAGACAUGGGUAUUCGUAAUGAUUGCUGUAACAUGUAUAAUCACUCAGUUGAAUUACUUAAACAAGGUAUGUAAUUUCUUAACUGUAGGCUUUUCUCAAUUGAUGAUGUAUUUUAAUUCUUUGAGACAGCAGUAUAGCCUUUGAACCUGAAGUUUUUGUCUGAAGUCACUCAAACGGGCAAGAUUGAAAAUGAGUUAAUCAAGCAUACUGUUACAACCUGUUUAGAUACAAUCCUGAAGUUCAUUAAGCAGGCAAUAUGAAGGUGUAUGGCAGGGAAAAUAAUGUUGCUAUCUGGUCUGAAAAAUUUAAUGACAUUGAAGCAGUACAAUUUUCUAUGGGCUUGCUUCUAGUUCAGUUUCCAAUCUGCUUCCUUAUAUGCCAUGAUAGGAGAUGACUGAUACUUAGCUUUACAUGAUUCAUUUUGGUUUUCUAGUUGCCUUACCUACUGGAGUUGAAGACACAUAGAAGAGUAGAAGUUUCCCAAGUCUGUCUUUUGCAAGAAUGUUAUAUUCCUGUGAUAUGUGAUCAAACAGAUUGUAUUUUCUAAAUUUUGAUAUAGUCUUUUCUAUGUUCCUAACUAAAACCUUCUAUUUCAUUUAUCUUCUGUAAUGCCAGUGAUUAUUCACUUACUUUAGAAGUGCCUUUUCCCUGUGAUUCGUAAUGAAAACUUUUCUGGCAGAGCUCAUCUUCUGAAGAAUCAACAAUUACUGUCACCUAGGGCUCUAAACGAAACGAAUGGAAUUCAGCUUUCAAGCUGUCAAGCUCGAUUCAAAUUUUUGGCCCAAACUCGAGGGCUUGUAUCCUAAAUGAGCUCAAACUUAAGAUCGAGCUUGAUUCAAUUUAAUAUUCAAUAGGCUUGAGCUUGAUUUAAGAGCUCAAUAUCUUUAAUUUUAACAUUAAAUUUUCACUAAUACAUAGACAUAAGAAAUAAUAAAUGUAUAACUUUACAUAAAAAAUAAUAGAUAAAACAUAUGAAAAAUUAUUCGAGCCUUAAAGAGCUGAAUAUCUACAAGUUCAAAUUCAAUUCAAUAAUUUAAUUAAAUCCUAAUCCCUGCUCGAAUUUGAGCUCGAGCUCAUUGAAAUUUAAGCUCGAAUCGAGCCUUUAACAAAUCAAGCCUGAACUGCUCGCUAAGGGAACCACUUGUAACUGUUAUGCUUUCUGAAUGAAUUAAUGGCUUGAAGCAGAUUGUUGUUGUUAAACUGGAGAAAACAUAUGCAAGUUUAUGACUUUAAAAUGAUGUGUAUACAACUGGCUGAAAUUGGAAUUGGAAGGGUCUGUAGUAGCUUUUCUUCUUUGAUUGGAAUUGUAUCUUUUUGUCUUGUAUGGAAACUGGAAUUGGAAUAGUUAUACAACAGCUAAAUGUUGCUUUGCAGGCUUUGGACACAUUUAACACAGCAGUUGUUUCUCCCAUCUAUUAUGCCAUGUUUACAUCGCUCACAAUUUUUGCAAGUGCUAUCAUGUUCAAGGUAUGUGUGUUCAUCUUUAGCUAUGGAACCUUGUUCUCUUUGUAAAAUCUCUAGUGAGUUUAUCUGCUAUUCUAGGACUGGGCUGGUCAGAGUGCUAGCAGCAUUGUUUCUGUGCUUUGUGGAUUUGUCACCGUUCUUUCGGGUACAGUAAUUUUGCACAGCACAAGAGAUCCAGAGGCUCCGCCUGUUUCAGGUAAAUGGAUAAUAAACAAAAAUUCUUUGUCACAAUAUGAUAAGUAACCAAUCAUGUUGUUUACUUUUUUACUUUUUUUUUUACUUUCUUACAUGAUCCGAUAAAGAAGCAUGAAUAUCAUCAAUUGAGACUGACGUCCAAAUUAACUGCUGAAGUUGUAUAUCUCAUAUUCAGGUUGCAUUGUAUGCAUUUUAUUGCUCUGGUGAUCAUUUUCUUGCAGAUGCAUAUUCAUCACUUUCUCCUCAAAUAUCAUGGCUGGUCCAUGCUAACGGGGAAAUAUGGAAGCACAA
This 39932-nucleotide long non-coding RNA is filed under the name Coffea arabica (coffee). Its description in RNAcentral is "long non-coding RNA (CARA_LNC006866)". The record is from RNAcentral. Lineage: Eukaryota; Viridiplantae; Streptophyta; Magnoliopsida; Gentianales; Rubiaceae.